RNAcentral lists this ribosomal RNA (819 nucleotides) under uncultured Actinomycetes bacterium. RNAcentral describes it as "bacterial SSU rRNA". It matches the Rfam family "Bacterial small subunit ribosomal RNA", at positions 335 to 1167 of the family's 1533-position model. The record is from RNAcentral. Lineage: Bacteria; Bacillati; Actinomycetota; Actinomycetes.
ACUCCUACGGGAGGCAGCAGUGGGGAAUAUUGCACAAUGGGCGCAAGCCUGAUGCAGCAACGCCGCGUGACGGACGACGGCCUUCCGGUUGAAAACCUCUUUUAGUAGGGAAGAAGCCAAAGUGACGGUACCUGCAGAAAAAGCACCGGCUAACUACGUGCCAACAGCCGCGGUAAUACGUACGGUGCAAGCGUUAUCCGGAAUUAUUGGGCGUAAAGAGCUCGUAUGCGGUUUGUCGCGUCUGCUGUGAAAACUGGAGGCUCAACCUCCAGCCUGCAGUGGGUACGGGCAGACUAGAGUGCGGUAGGGGAGAUUGGAAUUCCUGGUGUAGCGGUGGAAUGCGCAGAUAUCAGGAGGAACACCAAUGGCGAAGGCAGAUCUCUGGGCCGUAACUGACGCUGAGGAGCGAAAGCAUGGGGAGCGAACAGGAUUAGAUACCCUGGUAGUCCAUGCCGUAAACGUUGGGAACUAGAUGUAGGGACCAUUCCACGGUUUCUGUGUCGCAGCUAACGCAUUAAGUUCCCCGCCUGGGGAGUACGGCCGCAAGGCUAAAACUCAAAGGAAUUGACGGGGGCCCGCACAAGCGGCGGAGCAUGCGGAUUAAUUCGAUGCAACGCGAAGAACCUUACCAAGGCUUGACAUAUACCGGAAAUGGCUGGAAACAGUCCCCCCGCAAGGUCGGUAUACAGGUGGUGCAUGGUUGUCGUCAGCUCGUGUCGUGAGAUGUUGGGUUAAGUCCCGCAACGAGCGCAACCCUCGUUCUAUGUUGCCAGCACGUAAUGGUGGGAACUCAUAGGAGACUGCCGGGGUCAACUCGGA